Molecule: long non-coding RNA, 220 nt
Filed under: Physcomitrium patens
Lineage: Eukaryota; Viridiplantae; Streptophyta; Bryopsida; Funariales; Funariaceae
Description: long non-coding RNA (PPAT_LNC008368)
Source: RNAcentral
UUGUGCAUGAAUACAAUGGAAAAUUUUAAUUAGAAAAUUAGAAGUAUUAGUAAAAAAAUGGAUAUGAGUGAGAGAAUUAUAAUACUGAGGUUUAAGAACAAAUCUUUGGAGUUUAGAUUUGUCUGAAGAGGUAUAGAGAGAAUGACAAUAAAUUUGGAGGAUUUUAGUGAUUGGAUCAUAGAGUGAUUGUAUGCUAUCUUUUAAGAUAGUAUUGUAUUAC